AAGGGAACUGAAGUUGUUAAAUUCCCUGGGUACAAUUACAAAACUAGCUGCUUUGAGGGUAGGGAGGUUGUAAACCAUUUCCUUUAAUUUGCUAAGCCCUUCUAUUUAUUUUACAAUGGAAAGGAGAUAGUCUUAGAGGCUGAAGAGAAGUCUUAGAUGCUGAAGAUAAGUACUUGUCAAGUCAGAGAAAGAAAAAAGAGGAAAAUAUUUGGAUUGGCAUUAUCCCAGGGCAUUGAUUAUGAUUUUGAGGGAAGAGAGAGUUGUAGCUAAGAUGAUUUCAUUGCAUUUUCAGUGAAGUACCUGUAGAAUGCAGUAACAAUACAGAUGGCAAAUGGUAACAAGGCAGGUAAGAAUAUAUUUACCAGUAUUUUUAUGCCUCCUUUGUCAAGUGAAUGAGUUCAGAGCCUUUUAUAUUAUUAUUCAUGUAAAAGCAGUCUGUGCAUGGGGAAUUAGGCAGAGAGGCAGUUUUUAUUUUCACAGUUGACUUUUUAGAAUUAUGAAAACUUAGCUUCUUAACUCCAUUUGCUUAUACAUCGUUUUGACACGUUCUGUAAUGAAAUUUUAUGGCAAAGUAAAGCAUUUAUACUGGAGAGUACCUGUUUCAGUUAAAUUAGAUAAAAGCACAUGAAUUGGACAUACUUCCAAUUCCAUUGCAGAUGAAUCUCACUUUUACAGAUUUUGGAAAAGAGCAUUAGGAGUGGCAUGUUAUAGGACUAAUAAAUAAAUUUAUGUAUUUCAUCUUGCUUUUUUGUUGCCAUUUUCCAGGGCCCAUUAAACUGCCUAAAACAUGAUAGGGAAAUGCUCAUAUAUAUUUGUUGAAGAAAUCAUAAGUAAAUAGAUGAAUACUAAUCAAAAACUACUUCAGGAAUUUGCAUCAUAAAUCAACUUGCAUAUAUAUUUUAAACAUUAAUAAAAUAUUAAUCUAUUAUUAAUUUUAUCUGACCUACCUCUGCCAGAAGGUGUAAGGAUAGUUUGGAAGUAAAUAUAUGUGUUGUAUGGUUAUUGUGAAAAAAAUUUACUCUUUAUAGUAAUCUAUAUACAAUUUCUCUGAGGUUUUUAAAGCAGCAAAUUUCCAUGCAAAAACAUAUAAAGCACUGAAUUUGGCAAUACUUCCUGUCUAUAGAUAAUUUCUAUUGCCAAAGGUUCAGCAUAUCUUUGGGCAAGAAACUGAGAGCUCUUAAAGCAAAUGCCAGGCCUUUCACAUUCAACCCUGUAGGCUUGAGGAUGAAAUGUGAGUAAUCUGAUCCACAAAUACAUUCGCAAAUGUGUAUAACAGCUGUAUGUCAGAGAAUACGACACAGUUUCCUGUUACUGUUCAGUGAUUUUCUGAGCUUCCACAAUGUGCCUGGUGCUAACUGGGGCACCUCCAUUAUUCUCCAUCUGUGCUCACCACCAAAUCUGCCAGCCAUCCUGCUGCUUGAGGCCUAAAGCCUGUGGCAGAGAGCCUGACAAGGUAAAUGCUGAAAUCUAGUAUUGCUUCCUGGGCAAGGCUACCUAGUUAAUCUAGUAAAGGGAUCACUUUGUCACCAGGAUUGAUUUAGACUAUGAAAUAAAGCUGUAGAUUAUCACGGCCACCAAGCAACUUUGUGUGGAGAAGAUACCAGGUUAGAAUUUUACAGAACAGUAUUUUCAGGGCCUGUAGGGAAAGAUGGGUUAAGAGCAAACCUACUGUAAAUGAAGGGAUUUUUAGGGGAGUGUGAGAGAACUUUAGUAAUCAAAUUUGUGAAUACCAUUUUUUAAUCUUGAGACUUCACUUGGUGAAAAUGAAUAUCUAUGACCUCUUGCAAUAUUUCAGUUAAAUCAAAUGCCUCAUAAUGACCCAUUACCAUUUAACGACAAUCCAUUAAAUGGCAAGCUCUGUGUGAUGAGCUCUAUGUGGAUUAUUAUUUCUAAUUCUUUCACUAACUACCCUAGUUAGAUGCUGUUACUAACAUGAAGAAACUGAGGCACAGAGAAAUUAUGUAAUUGUGCUGAAUUUGCGUGGCUAACAAGUAUCUAAGCUAGAGAUUUAAGCCUGGCUGCCUAUGACAGUUUAACUCAUGCUCUUGUACACCCUGCAAUAAGGGCUCAAGGCCCUCAUAGAUUUAGAAAUGACAUUUGUGGCUUCUGAAUUCUCAUCUUUGUCCUCUUUAAAACUGAUGGUGCGUGUGUGUGUUGGAGGAGAGACGCCCCCCAAAAAUUACUUAGCUUACCUCAGGGCAUUGUGAGUAGUCAUCACAGUAACACCAAUGCUGAAAUGGAGGCCUUCAGUUCAGAGUCAUUUUUAUUUGUCAUAUGUGUUUUCACAGAUUUUGUAAAAGAGCAUAUACUUUGUAAUAAAAAUUUGAGUUGGGGGAUGACUAUGGUGGGGGAGCAGUGAACUGGAAUAUUUUCCCUUUUCCAACUAGACCUGGACAUGCCACCCCAUCUCACAUAUUGGUAGAUCACACAGCUUCAACCAUGCGUAACUUGAACUUUUCAAGUUGAUGUGAAAAUAGAGAAAAAGGAAAAAGAGGAAGGGUAGGAAAAGAGAAAAUGGGAAACAGCUCCAGAAUUGAUUUAUAACUGCAAAAAGAACCAGAACAUGUGUUCUCCUUUACUCUCCUAGAGCAAUAAGAUUUAAAGCAAGUGGAACUAAACUUUUCCUUGAGGCUCUUUCCCUUUACUCUCUCCCUCCCCAGGCAAAUAUUCAUUUUUCUUGAAGGAGAUUGCUGAUCAGAAUCAAACUUUCCCUUCCUCUUUCUUGCCACAUGCCAUCCUGCCCUACAAUUCAACUUGCUUACUCCUACGCCUUCAAGAUUCCUCCACUUUCAGUCAAUCAAUCAUGAGAAGAGCCAUGCUGUAAUUUUGUGCUUUUCACAUUCUUAACUUACUUUACAAUGGGAUUUUGAGGUGCUUUUUGCUGGCUCAAGCUGAUAAGAAAAAAUAUAUAAGAGUGUUGCCUUCUUGAGCUUACAUCAAUGUUGUGAAUUAUAUAAUGAAACCUGUCUGGGUUGGAAUUCUAAAGCUAUUAUCAUUCUAGCACUGAGAUAGGAUACCGAAAGAGCCAUUUAGGAUCUCUCAGCCAUUUAUAGCUUGAGAAAUCAGAUUCUUUUCCUCUUAAAAAUGGUUUGUCGAGGGUAGUUAUUCAACUUACAACAUUGUCAAUAUUUUGCAUUACCAGCCCUUGGGGAACACACUGAAUCCUAAGGUAUGAUUUCUCCAUAAGGUUAUUUUGUCUCUUAAAUGAGGUCUCAAUAUCUAUUCUAGUGGUGUUUGAAAAGUUUUCACUUGGGAUCUUCUGUGACCUUGGUGUUGUGUGCCAUUUGUGCAUCAUUAAAAGGUUGUAAUGAAGUUCUGCGGCACACAGAUUGUAAAAGGUCAAGCAGAAAGUUGGGAGCCAAUGAGGUUGGGAAGAAAAAUUGUGCUUGCUGCAGAAGUUGAGGGAUUCAUUAUAUUGAUGCUAUGGGGUUUUCAGCAGAGUAAUAACUGGGUUAGCAAUAGAAUGUAAAUCUUCUCAGCCACUUAGUCUGAAUCUGCUUCUUCUUGAUUUGUGGGGAUAUAUUUUUAACAGAGUACAAGGAAAGUCAUUACACUCUGAGGAAAGCCUGUGGAAUUGGUAAAUGCACUGUUGAUGGGCCGGCCAAAAAGAAGAGUAGAACUAGAGGAAUAAAGCACACCAGGCUUCCUGGUUGCCACACUAAGAAAUAUUGUCAACCCAUGUGAUGUAAUUGUCUCAGAAGAACUUUGCAUAGGGAUUAUUUUAAUUCUUAAAAGGAUAUACAGUAUUGUUUUUAGCUUCAGUAGUCCAGAAGUGCAAGUAUAGUUAAUUAAAAUGCAUAAAAUAAUUAUCAACAGAAUUAAUUAAAAGGAUUUGAGAUAAAAAUAACAUCAAAAAGGCAGCAGCUUCAAGCCAAUUUAUUAAGGACCAGCAAGAUAAGCUAAUGAGGUCUUAGCUACUCUAAAAGAGGAAGAAACUUGUAAGUUACUGGUUCCCUAUUGAAUAUUCUCUGGAUGCAUUUUCUUAAAAUGGAAUUCUAGAAAUUAUGUGCAAAAGUGCAGCAGUUGAUUGCGUGUCUCACAAGCUUACAUAUGGAGUGAAAUAAUUUCUUCUUUAAACAAGCCCUGAACCAUCUGUUAACUUAAGUCUCUGAAUUUUACUUGAAAAUAAUUGGAAGUCUAGAUAUUCCACAAGACUAGCUCAAUGUGGUCCUUUAAUUUAUUCAUGGACUUUUAGGUGUGUGUGUAUAAGGAGGAAGGGAUAAGAAACCUUUUCAUCCAGAAGGAUAAAGAGUUAUUAAGAUAUAUCAUAAAAUUAAGACUAUUAUUAGGCAUUUCAGCUUGAUUCAGAUCCAGUGGCCUAAGUUGAGUGAUUAAAACGUUUUUAAGAAAUGAAAAUGACUUUUUAGAAAGGUUUUGAAGUUUGGGAGUAAAGGACAAUAGGAAAUUACACAAAAUUUAUUGAAAAGCUUGUUUUGUGAUUAUAAAGUGUUAAGGUAUCAGAGUCUAUAAUUUAAGGUAGGAAAACCAUCUAUAGUUCUGUUUUCAAUAGGUGGCACUCUAUUUUGUAUAGAAACUGACUUAUUUUCUUUAUCAGCAUUUUAUAGAUGACUUCCUUGGGCCAAGUGGAGUUUGACUAUCUUUUGCUAUUGUUCACAUUGUAGCCAUUCCAACAUUUAAAAAUUUUUUCUGUCUAAAACUGACUAAAUAUCAACUCAUAAGACAGUAUAAUGCAAUGGCUUGAAAGUAUUCCUUGAAAGAAAAACAAUAAUUGGAUGAACUGGAAUGCUAUAUCAUAAUCAUAUAGAACUAGAAUGACCUCUAUGUGUUAUAUAUAUCAUUCACUAAUAUAUUCUCAUUGUUCACAGGAGAUAAUUAGUUUUCUAUCUAUAUUUGUCCUCCAAGAUACAAAUAUUAUUGAAAUCAUUACCUUUGUGAUAAAGAAACACAGUCAUUUAUUAAUAUGUGGUUUCUUUAUUACUUUAGAACUGCCUUUUCUAUUAAAAUGUGUAUACCCAAAAUACUUUGGUUACUAAUUUAACAAUGAUUUAAGUGUGAUAAUUAUGUGUAAUAAAUAUUAUAUUUAUUAUGUGCUCUCUUAAGUAUGACUUAUUCAAUACUAAUAAUAGCACCCAGAGUCUUAUCUUGUCAAUUGUAUGUCUCAUUUAUUUAUUCAUUCAUUUAGUCAGCCAACAAAAAGUUUUGUAGCUAGUGCUUUAUACCAAGCUGUAGUAAGUUUCCCCUCAGAGAAGAGUCUAUUAUCUAGUAGAGAACCAAAUAUAUAGGAAAAUAAUUGCAAUCCAACAUGGUAGUAUAUAUAGUGGAAGCAUACAGUGUAUGUAUAUCAAGUAGAAUCACUGUCAAAGGAUACUUUACUACAUAUAGGAAAUCAAGGUGAUUGUGAGUAAUAAGUGAGAUAAGGGUUUGAUAUUAUGAAAACAUUCAUGGCUAUUAGAGUUAAUUGAUUCACUAUCUACCAAAUAUUUAUUGAGGAUUUGCUGUGUGUCAUUUACUGUAUAAGAUAUUUCGGAUAUAAAAGUAAAAAAGAAAAGAUCCUUGUCCUCAAAGAGCAUAAUUCCAAGUAAAGGAGACAAUAGAAGAGUAGAGGAAAUAAAAUAAUUACAUUCUAUAAUGAUAAAUGCUUAAAUAAAACUAUGCAUCAUACUUUUAGCAACAUAGAGAGGAGGGAAUAAUUAGCUUCCUAAGUGGAUUGGGAAAAUUUCACUGAAGAGAGAAAGCAGCUUUGAUAGUUGAAUUAGAGUUUGUUGGACAGGGUCAGUUGAUCCAAGGGGCAGGAAUAAAAAACAUGCCACUAUGGUGGUCUGAAAAGGCAUGGCAAGGGAGUCUAACCAUCACACUAUGAAUUACAGGGUGAUGUCUCAGGAUGAGUUAAGAGAUAGGUAAGGUUAAUCCUACCAUGAAAUUUCUUAAAAUAGGAGCAUGCAAAUUCUUCUGAAAGGCAUAGUCCUUUAAUUUUAAUUUAUAAUGUUGCAAUCUUAAAAUGGCAUGACAAAGUAUAGGAAGAUUUUAAUACAGUUUACCCUUGAACAAUGUGAGUUUGAACUGCAUAGGUCCACUUACAUGCUAGAUUUUUUUUCCAGUAGUAAACACUAGAAUAGUAUACAAUCCAUGCUUGAUUGAAUCUAUGGAUUCAGAGGAACUGUGAGCACAGAGGGUUGACUAUAAGCUACGCACAGAUUUUCAGCAACAGAAAAUGUGCAGAGGAUCCAGAGUGUUGGCACCGCUAACCCACCUGUUCAAAAAUCAACUGUAUAUCGGAGUUUCCAUCGUGGCGCAGUGGUUAACGAAUCUGACUAGGAACCAUGAGGUUGCGGGUUCAGUCCCUGCCCUUGCUCAGUGUGUUGACGAUCCGGCGUUGCCGUGAGCUGUGGUGCAGGUUGCAGAUGAGGCUCGGAUCACGCGUUGCUGUGGCUCUGGUGUAGGCUGGUGGCUGCGGCUCCAAUUGGACCCCUGGCCUGGGAAUCUCCAUGUGCCACGGGAGCGGCCCAAGAAAUAGCAAAAAG
Molecule: long non-coding RNA, 6482 nt
Filed under: Sus scrofa (pig)
Lineage: Eukaryota; Metazoa; Chordata; Mammalia; Artiodactyla; Suidae
Description: lncRNA (ENSSSCG00065067922.1)
Source: RNAcentral